UUUGUUUCAUAAUUGGUUACUAUAUAAAUAUAUAAUUUAAUGUCCUCUAUCAUUGCCCACCACGCAUCUUUGGGUAUACAAAAUUUUAUUUUGAAGGGGAUGACCGGAUGUCCCCCUGACAGCGGCUCUGGUAGUUUGACGUUUGAGUCCGCGAGCGCUGUCUGGGGCUACACAGCUGCUGUAGCCGCGAGCCAAGCGCGCAGUGACACACGCGCUCCGAACAACAACCCAGCCGUCCUCAUUGAGGUCCGGCGAGGUGUUCGUUGUUUGUCUGGUGGCAAGAUGCGACCAGAGGGAGGAGGAGACGGAGGAGCAGGUGCGGGAGAAAUGAGCCUUCUGAGCGGAAACCUGACAGACGCGUUUUGUCUCAGGAGAACAAUACAGCCUGAUUAAACCAGGUGCAGGUUUCCAGCUGGAAGAUUAACUACUAUGGCUGACAUUUCCUGCAUGGCGUAAAUAUAUACACAUAUAGAAGCACGUCAGAGCCAGUAACAGGAGUUGAUUCGGCAAUAAAGGUAUAAUUAUUGAAAUAUGCCCCACUGAAAAUACAUUUAGUUUUUUUUUAUAUGCAUGUUAGAGCAAAUAGAGGUAGGUAGUGUAUAUUUAUGACAGGCAAUGCUUAAGGGGGAAAAGAAAAGUGCCAUGUCCCAAAAUAAAAUGCAGGCUAGGAUAAACAUCACCCUCUAGUUUUUAUAUAUUACCCCCCCAAAAAACUGAAAAUAAUUAUAAAAAAUAAGAUUUAGUUAUACA
Long non-coding RNA from Xiphophorus hellerii (green swordtail), 750 nucleotides. RefSeq lists it as uncharacterized. The transcript is spliced from 2 exons. Lineage: Eukaryota; Metazoa; Chordata; Actinopteri; Cyprinodontiformes; Poeciliidae. The record is from RefSeq and is a predicted model, not a curated record.